CAGGCACACAGGCUCACACAGACUCACAGAGACACACAGGCUCACAGAGACACACAGGCUCAUACAGACACAAAGGCUCACACAGACACACAGGCUCACACAGACACACAGGCUCACAGAGACACACAGGCUCACAGAGACACACAGGCUCAUACAGACACAAAGGCUCACACAGACCCACAGGCUCACACAGGCACACAGGCUCACACAGGCACACAGGCUCACACAGGCUCACACAGACACCCAGGCUCACACAGACACACUGGCUGACACAGACACCUAGGCUCACACAGACACACAGGCUCACACAGACACACAGGCUCACACAGGCACACAGGCUCACACAGACUCACAGAGACCCACAGGCUCACAGAGACACACAGGCUCACAGAGACACACAGGCUCACACAGGCACAAAGACUCACACAGACACACAGGCUCACACAGGCACAAAGGCUCACAAAGACUCACAGACUCACAGAGACACACAGGCUCACAGAGACACACAGGCUCACACAAAUACACAGGCUCACACAGGCACACAGGCUCACACAGGCACACAGGCUCACACAGGCUCACAGAGACACACGGGCUCACAGAGACACACGGGCUCACACAGGCUCAAAGACUCACACAGGCACAAAGGUUCACACAGGCACACAGGCUCAUAGAGACCCACAGGCUCAAACAGACACACAGGCUCACAGAGACACCCAGGCUCACACAGGCACACAGGCUCACACAGACUCACAGAGACACCCAGGCUCACAGAGACACACAGGCUCAUACAGACACAAAGGCUCACACAGACAGACAGGCUCACACAGACACCCAGGCUCACACAGACACCCAGGCUCACACAGACACACUGGCUCACACAGACACCUAGGCUCACACAGACACACAGGCUCACAAAGAACCCAGGCUCACACACACAGGCUCACACAGGCACACAGGCUCCCACAGGCACACAGGCUCACACAGACUCACAGAGACACACAGGCUCACAGAGACACAGAGGCUCACACAGACACACAGGCUCAAACAGGCUCAAAGACUCACACAGGCACACAGGCUCACACAGACUCACAGAGACACAGAGGCUCACAGAGACACACAGGCUCACACAGGCGCACACAGGAUCACAUAGGCACACAGGCUCACACAGGCACAGAGGCUCACACAGACUCACAG
RNAcentral lists this long non-coding RNA (1194 nucleotides) under Bos indicus x Bos taurus (hybrid cattle). RNAcentral describes it as "lncRNA (ENSBIXG00005011639.1)". The record is from RNAcentral. Lineage: Eukaryota; Metazoa; Chordata; Mammalia; Artiodactyla; Bovidae.